Triticum aestivum (bread wheat) is the source of this 2594-nucleotide long non-coding RNA. RefSeq lists it as uncharacterized. The record is from RefSeq and is a predicted model, not a curated record. The transcript has 13 exons. NCBI's taxonomy places the organism in Eukaryota, Viridiplantae, Streptophyta, Magnoliopsida, Poales, Poaceae.
UCGCUCGCUCCUGCAGCCGCCUCCUCCCUCGCCCGCUCUGCCGUCGCCUCCUCUACUCUUCCCCCCGCCCGUGCCUCCCUGCCCCGCUCCCGUCCGCCAGCCCCACACCGCCGUCAUCUCGCCUCCGCGUCCUCUUCCUUCCUCUCCCUCCGCUCCGCCCGCGCCCGCUCCCUCCAGGGGCGACAGCGACAAGGACGGUGCGCUGCGCCCGCUCCCUCCGUGAGGCUGACUGACCUUGCCUCGCCGCUCCUCGCCCCAGUCACCGACCCGCUCCUCUGGAGGCGGAGGAACGCCUCGCGGGGUACGCCAUGCUCGUGUGGUUCCUCUUCGAGCACGCCGGGUACAGCCUCGCGUCGGUCCUCUCCAACGCCGUCCUCCUCCUCGCCGUCAUCCUCUUCUUCUGGCCAAGUCCGCCUCGCUGCUCAACAGCAAAGAAGAGGAUGGGAGAUGGGAACGAGGGUGGGCAGUGGUUAGGCAUCGGCGCCGGAGACGCGGAUCCGCGGCGGAGCAGGAUAGGUGACGAGGACGACAUGUGGCUCCUCAUGGCAAAAGUCUUGCUCGCCGUUGGUUGUAACAUCAUCGCCUCCUAGACAGGUUUGUCUGAUUCGAGAGGUGUCGUCGUCUGAGAGAUGUUGGCCAGUUAAGGUUUGUUGCACAUAAUAGUGGUGAGCCGCCUCAACACCUUGGGUGGUUGUCCUCUCCUUUGUUAUGAGCUUGCUGCCUGUUGCGCUCGCGUCGUCGCCGUUCUUGCGCCGGUGCUGCUGCUAUGUAGGGCUGCUUUGGAUGGUUGCUCAGCGCUGGGGUUGCGAUGCUUGCGGAGUGCAUGGGGGAGGCGCACAUGGUUGAUGAUUAUGUUCUAGGUUGGCCAUUGAGAGGGACGCCCAAGCAAACUCCGCCAGGUUUCAGAUAACUACUUCUGGUUAGACAGGGGAAAUAAAAGGGUAACCAUAGAUAUAUGGUCUAGCAUCACGAGGUUCAGGUUCCUGCUGUUGAUCAACCAUUGCUUCGGUGGAGCCAAGAUGAGUGCUCUACACUUACGACUCAUGCUAACUGAAUUGGUGAUGUUUGUUUCUUCACCUCGAUUGACGCCACAUGUUCCCUCCACUCGUCGGCAACCACAUCUGAAUCAUUGAGUGCAAACUGGUGAUAGCGAACUGGUCUGUUCGGCAGAAAAGACAAUUUUUUUGUGGCUGCCAGUUACAGGUUUUAUAUACUCUUACAGUCUUCAAUGUUGUUUUCAGCUCAUGUAUACAUCUAUUGCAUGUCCAUUUCCUGUUGUUUUUGUGCAGUCUAUAUUUGAGAGGUUUGACCGUGACCGAAGUGGUAAAAUUGAUGCGUCACAGCUGCGCAAUGCUCUUCUUAUUCAGUUUCUCCAACUGCACUAGACUUGCUCGUGUCUAAAUUCGACAAGACUGGGGCAUUAGCAAAGCAGUCCAAUAUGGUUGCCGCGUCGUCCUCGUCUUCGGCUUGCAAGGGAUUGGAUCUGGUGUGAUUGAUUCUUCCACUCGCAAGGUUAUGAUGGCCGACGAACAACUCCAAGUUCACGGGUCACCGGGCUCGCCGGGUGACGCUGGCUCCAACAGUUGUCUGUGAGCAUUUGCCCAGGGAGGUUGUGCGGUGCUGAGCGGAUGUACGGUGAGUUCUUCAUAAUGGAGUCAAGUCACACUUGCCAUAUGGAUCAUAUUAGGAGCAGGGAAAAAUGGAGCUGCAACCAAGCUAACAAGAACCAAUCUAAAGUUCUGAAGCUUACUGAAUCAAGAUGCAAGAAGAUGAGGAUCAAUUUUUGGGAGGGGCGCUGGUACCUUCAACAGCAGCAGAGCCGGGGUCACCUGGACGAAUAAGAAGAUUGGGGCCACCUGGACGAAGAUCGGGAGCUGCACCACCACUAGCAGAAGCAAUAGAGGCGGAGGAAGACGGAAACAACAGAAGAGGCCGGAGUGGCGAAAGACAACGUGCCGACGGCCGAAGCGGACGGCGCAGGCCCUGCGAGCGGUGGUGGUCACCUCUGUGGCAGCUGCGCAGGUGGGCGGCGGUGCUGGUGACUCGAGAAGGACGACAAGGAGGUUCUGCCCGUCAGCCGUGCAGCUGCCGUCCGUCAAGGUGUCACCGCAGAGGAGCAGGUGGGCGGGGGGAAGCUCGCCUCCGUGUGCGCAGGUAAGCAGGGGUGCAAGUUGGCAGCUGUGGUGCAAGCUGAGCUCUACGACGGCUAGGGCGCGCGGUGCCCCGCGGUGACAGGGGAGACGGUGGCUGGGGCACGCAGUGCCCGCGUGCGACGGGGGUGGAAGAUGGGUUGAUUAGCAAGAGAAUUAAAAGGAUAAGGGUUUAUUUGCAAAAUUAUAAAUGAACUAAGAUGAGGACAAGUUUUCCCGGACGGAUAGAGUAUUUGAUACAUAUAAAUAUUGUGCUCAAGAAAGCUUAUUUAUCUACUGUUGCAUACUUCAAUAUCACCUAUGUAUAUGCCUUUGAAUGUCAACAUAUAAGUGCUUUAUCAUCCCCAACAUUCAGGAUACAUAGACGGGGAUGAUGUUGCUCAAAGGCGAGCACACAUUACCGUGUUGAAGGAGUUUUGCCUCUGUUUAUGCCUCAAAUAUCUA